Molecule: ribosomal RNA, 489 nt
Filed under: uncultured bacterium
Lineage: Bacteria
Description: partial 16S ribosomal RNA
Rfam family: Bacterial small subunit ribosomal RNA
Source: RNAcentral
GACGAACGCUGGCGGCGUGCUUAACACAUGCAAGUCGAACGGAAAGGCCCCCACCUUGGUGGGGGUGCUCGAGUGGCGAACGGGUGAGUAACACGUGGGUGAUCUGCCCUGUACUUCGGGAUAAGCUUGGGAAACUGGGUCUAAUACCGGAUAGGACCAUGGUUUAGUGUCUCAUGGUGGAAAAAUUAUUGUUUUGGUGCAGGAUGAGCUCGCGGCCUAUCAGCUUGUUGGUGGGGUAAUGGCCUACCAGGGCGUCGACGGGUAGCCGGCCUGAGAGGGUGGACGGCCACAUUGGGACUGAGAUCCGGCCCAGACUCCUACGGGAGGCAGCAGUGGGGAAUAUCGCACAAUGGGCGCAAGCCUGAUGCAGCGACGCUGCGUGGGGGAUGACGGCCUUCGGGUUGUAAACUCCUUUCGUUAGGGACGAAGCCACACCUUUUUUGGGUGUGGUGACGGUACCUUUGUUAAGAAGCACCGGCUAACUACGUG